AAUCGCUUCGGCGGUCCAUAUACUACAAUUGGAACGAUACAGAGAAGAUUAGCAUGGCCCCUACGCAAGGAUGACACGCAAAAUCGUGAAGCGUUCCGCCUCGCA
RNAcentral lists this small nuclear RNA (105 nucleotides) under Cimex lectularius (bed bug). The record is from RNAcentral. Lineage: Eukaryota; Metazoa; Arthropoda; Insecta; Hemiptera; Cimicidae.